UACUUGUUUUCAAAUAAUCUUACCAUCAACAUUUAUGCAGUUUUCUUGGCAUACAUUUGGAUUGAGGGUCCAGGAGUGUAAAAAAUUAAAUGUAGUAACAAUUUCUCUUCUUAGAUUUUCUAAAUGUUAAAUAUGUGAUUUGCUUUUGUGUUUGUCUUAUCUGAGCCCAUAACUAAAUUUUGCAAAUUAAAUUGAUGAUUUCUUUGUGUGUUUUUUUUCCUUCAGAAAAGAAAUGUAAUGUGAAAAAUAGUGAUCCUGUUUCUUUUAAUAUUGCAGUAAAAUGAAAUAUUUGUGAAAUUCUCAAAAUCGAGCCAAGGAUAAUCAGCCAAUCAUUUUUAUCUUAGUCUUUGGUGUUGGAUAGUAUUUCUAAAAAUGUGUGUCCUCUCUCCUGCCAUGGAGAUGAAUAUGAUUAGGCAACCUUGAGAGGACAAAAGAGUUGAUGUAGAAGAAAAGAGCUUUAAUUUAUUCUGCCAUUUGCAAGAUCAAGGAAGUGGGUGGGGCUGACUGAGUUAGAAGAUCUGGAAAUGGUUAUAAGAAGGCAAGGAUGAUUUCAUUUACUUCCUCAAUAUUCUCUCUACACUUUUCUCAUUAUUGUAAGUCUAGAAAACAGCUAUAAAACCUGAACAUAAUAUAAAAAGAAAUUGCCUGAAGGUACUGAGAGUGAAGAGAAGCAGACGGACUCUGAUGGGGUGUGCACGCUUGCUUGGAGGAGGGGAGGUAAGGAAUCCUAUAAAAGUAAGUUUGCAUCUCUGCGGCUCUUGACCUGGGGCUCAGUAUAGGUCCUGCGCUGGAGCACACAUUCAAAACGAAACAAAAACCUCAUAGGCUUUCAGGCCAGGGGAACCAGAAAAGUGAAGCCCUUUGGCUUUGCAAACCACUCUCUUUAGGGGUUGCUUCUGGUCCUCAGGUUCAUAUGACUUACAGGCAGGAAGCCAGAGAGGAGCAAAAGGCUAAAGGCACAAAGUCGCAAAUGAGCCUUGUCUGUCCCCUUAUAAGGAACAGGCUUUCCCCUCCACAGUGCCAUCCAGUGACUUAAAUUUUAUUACCAAGGACUGUGCCACACAACCAGCCCUGGCGGUGAGCCUGCUGCUGUGAGCGAAAUUGGGAAAGGCUACUUUCAUCUGAGCAUAUUGCCAUCCCCAGUGACAUCAGUGUUGUGUUAGUAAGGAGGAAGGGAAAAAGAGAUCUGCCAAAGGAAAGGGAUGCAUGCAUACAUGCUAACUCAGGAUUUUUAGUAAUUAUUCAACCGGUAUUUUGAUGCUAUUAAGCUAAAUUUUUUUUUUUUUUACCUUUCAGUGAAGUAACUCUUCCUGCACAGUUAUUUUAUGAUUCUUAGUUCACCCAGUUAGGGAGAUCUGGAUUUCAACUUGUUGUUAAUCUAAAACAUCAUUGUUAUAUUUUUUUAAAUCUAAAAUCUAUAUAUUAUAUUCAGGUUAUCUUUUUUUAUUUUCUGUUUAGUUUUCUAAUGUGGAAAAAUUAAAGUUUUUUAACCAAAACCUGAAAAUUAUGCAGAAACUGAAUAAAAAACUGUAAAAGUAAUUAUGAGACAGUGGACAUAUUUGUAUACUAGCUGGAUGUUUGAUAUUAAGGAAACACUGUUAAUAUUUUUAAAUGUGUUAAUAGUAUUGUGGUAUAAUUUAAGAUUCCUCAUAUUUUAGAGACACAUUCUGAACUAUUGAUGGAUGAAAGAAUGUAUGUAAUCAUAUGGAUUUGUUU
Long non-coding RNA from Choloepus didactylus (southern two-toed sloth), 1716 nucleotides. RefSeq lists it as uncharacterized. The record is from RefSeq and is a predicted model, not a curated record. Lineage: Eukaryota; Metazoa; Chordata; Mammalia; Pilosa; Megalonychidae. The transcript is spliced from 4 exons.